Molecule: ribosomal RNA, 513 nt
Filed under: uncultured bacterium
Lineage: Bacteria
Description: partial 16S ribosomal RNA
Rfam family: Bacterial small subunit ribosomal RNA
Source: RNAcentral
GACGAACGCUGGCGGCGUGCUUAACACAUGCAAGUCGAACGAAAAGAGGGAAAGAGCUUGCUCUUUCCGGAAUUGAGUGGCAAACGGGUGAGUAACACGUAAACAACCUGCCUUCAGGAUGGGUACAACAGACGGAAACGACUGCUAAUACCGAAUAAGUUCCAAGAGCCGCGUGGCCCAUGGAAGAAAAGGUUGCCUCUACCUUUAAGCUAUCGCCUGAAGAGGGUUUUGCGUCUGAUUAGCUGGUUGGAGGGGUAACGGCCCACCAAGGCGACGAUCAGUAGCCGGUCGGAGAGGAGGAACGGCCACACUGGAAGUGAGACACGGUCCAGACUCCUAGGGGGGGCAGCAGUGGGGAAUCUUCCGCAAUGGGCGAAAGACUGAGGGAGCAACGCCGCGUGAGUGAUGACGGACUUCGGGUUGUAAAACUCUGUGAUCCGGGACGAAAAGGCAGAGUGCGAAGAACAAACUGCAUUGACGGUAACGGAAAAGCAAGCCACGGCUAACUACGUG